CACUUCGAGACACCCGCGUUCUCCGCCGAAGUCCAAUCCAUCCCGCUCACCUUCCGGAGGGGGCCUCGCACCGGCCUGCGUCGAGUAGAUUAUUUAGUGUUUUUCUUCCCUAGAUGCAGCUGUGCUUGCAAGAACCAUUCCUGGUUUCAGAAGCUAAAAAUGUAUGGAGCUAUCCGUGGUGCUGAUUCUUAGACUGCCAUUAGUGAGUAUUCAUUGAGGAUGCCAACCAAUGACAGUGGAACUGCAAACUCAGUCAAGUGGCUGUUAAGACACAAAACCCUGAUCUUAGUCACCAAAUGCCUAGAAAAACACAAGUUGCUAUUUUUGAGACAUUUCUUAAACACCUUCCCAUUUUACUUAGCUUUUAAACUAAACUCAAGUUCACAUUACCCACCAAAUCAAGGACUCCAGAGGAGAAAAGAAUACAGUGUGUGGAUUGUAAGUUUUCCGUAUAAAGUUUCAUUGCCUAUAAGGUUUCGUGACACAAUAAUACAAGAGCAAAUUAUAACAAAGCAACAUGGCUGGCUAAUACAUUUUAAAUGACUUGCCAGCUCAGAAAAUGAGAACCACUUUAAGGUAAUAACCAUUCCCAUUGUAUUUUGUAAAAACAAACGUUUUCUCUACUACAGGAUACGAAGAUUUGACAUGCAGAAGUUUACUGUGUAAUGUUUCUGCUUAUGAUUGAAUAUUUUCUCUUUAGGUAAAACUCUCAGAGCAUCUAUUAGGAUUAGUUAAUGAAAUACAUGAUAAGUUUCCAUAGCCCAUGUAAGAUAUAAGUGAGAUUAUAGGCUUCACAUUGUCUUCAACACAUUUAACAAAGAUCAGUUCUAUUCAUGAGGCUAUGUAAAAUCAUAGAAUGUUCUUCAAGAGGAAAAAUGGAAUUCUGUUCUCUAGAAUAUUUUCUCUUUAGGUAAAACUCUCAGAGUGUCUAUUAGGAUUAGUUAAUGAAAUACAUGAUAAGUUUCCAAAGCCCGUGUAAUAUAUAAGUAAGAUUAUAGGCUUCAUAUUUCCUUAGAUACAUUUAACUAAGAUCAGUUCUAUUCAUGAGGCUAUGUAAAGUCAUAUAACAUUCCAUAAUCUAUGCAUUGUAAUUGAUUGAUUUGAACAGAAGAUUAAAGGUAUCCUGUUUCUAAAUUAUCCCAGUAAUUGUGUUCAUGCAUUAUAUAUUGGCACAGUGGAGACAAGUAUAUUAAUCUAUGCCCACCCAAUAAUAGAAUAAAACCAGAGGGUGACAAUCAGGGUUCUUUCCUGGCUGGAAAAUUAUAUCUUACCAUCCUCAUCUCUUAAACUCUAACCAGAUAUUAUGGGUUUUUUGAGCUCUCAAAAUCCUAUGAAAUAUAUAGUUUAAUACCCAGUCUCCUAAUUAUGAGCAAAGAUGCAAAAUAGACUCAUAUAUCUCUUAAAACUCACAUGGUUAUUCACUUUGACUUUAAUCUAAGCUAUUAAGAAUUUAAACAUGCAAAUGUUUUAACAAUGCCUACAACAUAAUAAAUAAAUAAGCUUUAUAUAUGCUUCACAUGUGUGGUGCUGGGUAUAUUACUCAGGGAUAAACCAUGUUUCCCUAGGAUGCAGGUCGAUCUAGAUUCAAUUCAUAGCACACUUUUCUUAAGAAACCAGCAUUAAAAAUUUUCAAACAUAAUAUAUAGUUAUUCCAGUCUUUAGGGAAAGAGCAGUAGUCAUCAUGGAAUGUUUAAGUAGUAAUUUUAUGCUGAGAAGAAAAAAAAUUGAAAACUCUAUAAGCAAAUAAACGGUGUUACUUUCUCAUUAUACUGUUUCUAAAGUGGUAUUGGAAGUAAUUUGAUGAUAUUUAUGUAAAGUUUUUGUACAAUUUAGCAAAACUAUGUUACAGAUCUGAUGAUCACAAUUUGUCAUUUUAAUGGCUAUCUUAAUGUGGUCUUGUGUGAAGAUGGUGGAUAGCUUCUUACUAACUGGGUCACGUCUAACUUAAGAAACAUCUGACUCCACAGUUAUAAGUUAGGCAGAAUUUGGCUUGCAUUAGCCUCUUUAGCUCUGGAAUCUUUUAAGAGUCAGGAAUGUUGAGGUCAUCUAUUAACACAAUGAUAUAUUUGUGCAGUUUGUAAUAGAGAAAAAGUGAAGAGAAGAAUAGGGUUUAACAUUACACUAUUUUAUUAUAGUGAAACUAGGGGCUGAGAAGAUGGCCCAACUCAGUUUUCAUGAUGAGGGUUGGGAUUUCCAUCUCCCACAGAGAAGCUGGGUAAUGUGGCUUGUCUGUAACUGCAAUGUUGGGCAAGUGGGGACAAUUGAAUUCCAAAGAUACUAGCCAGGCAAUCUACUUGACUAAGUCUAACUCAAGAUUCAGUAAGGAAUGCUGUCUCAAAACCAGAUGAGGAAGAUACCUAAUAACAGUUUGGAUUUUUUAAAAUCUAUGUGAGAGAGUGCUAUUGGGAGAUACCCAAUAUUGAUCUGUGACACUCCUCCACAUGCAUAGGCAUCUCAGACACAAAAUAUUAAAACAUAAAAGAAAAUACUGAAAGUAUUUAAGAUAUAUAUAUUUGGAACAAUUCCUGGUUUUCAGAUUUGUGUGAACAAUAAGUAAAUAAGAUACACAUAUUUAACAUGAAAUCUGAUAUGUAGUAAAUGACUCAUUUUAUUGAUGAUAUAUUAAUCUGAGUAUAGAAACAAACUUUGUUCAGUAAAGGCUGAGUGGUUGUGUCCUUCCUAAGGUAUACCACAGUUAUUAAAGAAAAUAACCUGUUCAAAUGAGUCAAAGAUUCAUCAAUAAAAGAAAAAAGAAAUGCUGAUACAAUGGAACUUGAUAACUUAUGAAAAACCAUUUAUAAUAUAUUACACAUAUGUUAUAGCAAUAUUAUAAGUGGAUAUUUGAUAGUGUACAAUAGAAAAUGGUUCACAAUAUGUUUUUUUUCUUUUUUUGAGACAGUGUUUCUCUGUCUAGUCCUGGCUGUCAUAGGACUCACUCUGAAGACCAGGCUGGCCUUGACCUCAGAAAUCCACCUACCUCUGCCUCCUAAGUGCUGGGAUUAAAGCUGUGUGCCACCACUGCCUGGAUCACAAUAUGAUUUUUCAUUUAAGAAAUAACUCAGUAUUUCAAUAAAAAUUGUGAAAAUUUUACAUACCGAUUUCUUGAAGUCUGAGUAAAUAAAAAUCUUUCAAUCAGUAUUGGAAAGUAUUAAAAUUGCUUUAGCAGUCCUAUUAAUUUUGUUUUAUUUAAAUUGUGUGGUAGAGUUCUUAGGUCUAACUUGACAUUAGGUGCUUUGAAAAACUUAACUAGGAAACUAAUCUUGCUUUUCAAUAACUUAUUUUUGUGUUUCCUUCUAUAACAUUAACACUCACAAGUAAGUACUCCAUAAAUAUAUUUUGAGGUAGUUGAGCAGGACUUAUUAAAUGUGCCUUUUUGUUUUGUUUUUGUUUGUUGUUGUUUUUUCGAGACAGGGUUUCUCUGUGUAGCCCUGGCUGUCCUGGAACUCACUCUGUAGACCAGGCUGGUUUCGAACUCAGAAAUCUGCCUGCCUCUGCCUCCCGAGUGCUGGAAUUAAAGAUGUGUGCCACCACGCCCGGCUAAAUUUGCCUUUUAUUUUAAAGGAAUAAUUAACAAUUUAUGUCUAACUGAUUUUAUAGCACAUUCAAAUACUUCAGGCAAAAUGAUAGGGGUGAUUUAAGUCUUCUCUGUAGGGGAGACUGAGGAGACAAUGGGGAAAACACUGAAUCAAAUAGCUUGAAAACGUGAUUUAGUCACGAGUAUCUCUAUCAUCAAGGCAAGACAUAAAUGUUUCUGGAUGCUACACGAAGAAUAAAUAAAGUAGUAUAGUGAUUUAGAACUUCUUCAAUCUUAGCUUUAUCCCGACAUUAUAGGAUUUCCAAAAAGUUUUAGAAUACGGAUCAAAAUCCAAAAAUUUUAAACUUACAUAAAUGUUAAAGAAUAAUUGAUAAUAAUUUUAAACUUACAUAAAUGUUAAAUAAUAAUUGAAAUAUAGUAUACACAUUGUAAAGGUGCAAUGUAAUGGUUCUUUAAGAAUCUUUUCUUGUACAUGAUUUUGAAAGUUUCUAUUGUAUAUGGCCCUUAUACUAUAGCUGUUCCUCCCCAUAUUCCCAACUUCACCCCAUGCUCUCUUCCCUUCCCCAUCUGAUCAUCGUAUUCCAGUGCAGCUCCUGUCUAUCCCACAUUCAUCUACAUCUGUCCAUAGGGCCUACAUGGGUCUGCCCUAUGUACAGAUAGGCUUCUAGAGCUGAACAAGUGGAAACGUGUUGCAUACCUAACUUAGAAGCCGUUUUCAACUCAUAACCACUUGUAAAUAAAACAAUUAGUUUUCUGCAAGGAAGUCUCACUGGGGAAAUAAACCAUUCUUGAAGAUAUGGUUCAUGCCAAACAGUAGAUGCCCAACAACAGCAACAACAACAAAAACAAAAACAGACUUAGUACUAUUUUUGGAGACCAUUUUACUCAUAGUGUUGUAUCAGGGCAUUUUUUUAACCUUACAGGUCUCUUGCAUAUGUACUUUUGUCCUCAGAUUUCGUGUUUUUAAGGUAUUCCUCAGAGUAUGAUCCUGUGUCUCUGCAUUUAUCUCUAUUUCUCGUGCUGCUUUUGCUUUGUCUCUUUUUCCUCUGCUUCUUUUGCCCUAUUCUGAUUUUUUAUUUUGUUCCUAUUUUAUUUAUUAUUAUUCCAGAAAUGUCUGCUUGUUUUCUCAGGCGAGAAAGAAAGGGUAUGUAUAGAUCUGGAUGGGAGGGAAAGUGGAGAGGAACUUGGAAGAGUUAGGGAAAGGAAAACCAUAAUAGCAUAUCAUAUUAAAAUUUGUUUUUAAUAAACAAGGAAUAUAAUUUAAAAUGAUUAUCUUGAAAUCGUGAUAAGUUUACAUUUAAUCGUAAGAAACAAUGCAAAGAAACAUAAUUUACAUUUACCAGCUCUCUCUCUGUGGUAUCACCUUAGCUAACUAUGAAAGGAUGUGUGGUUGGAAGAGACUGCAAUAAGGGAGCAGGGAUCUGUUGCAUGUGUUGGUCUCUGGAAUGCUCAACUUUCUAGAUCACUGGAAUUAUUCAUGUAACCACAAAUGUGUCAUAUUUACUAGUGUGGUCUUUAAUAUCAUAAUGAAGAAUUCAUAUUAAAACUAAAUAAAGGAAAAGAGUACCAGUAAGAAUUAGAUAUAAGAUAUAUAUAUAUAUGCUUCCUGAAAUGUCUCCUCAAAUAGCUUCUUCAGAACCUGCCUGUUUUCUUAAAAGUUUCAUGACCAAACAGAUGAAGAUCUAUAAAACAGGCUACUAAGCUAAGAUUUGGUGUUCAAGGGAUUGAAGAUCAGUGAUACAAGUACACAGUGAUACAGGUACUGACUCCACCUACUGAGACAACUCCAUUUGGAUGUCAAACUGACAAAAAAUGGACCAAAGCCUUAGACAUACAUAAACACUUUAUCACUCAAGGCAAUAUUCUCAACAACUCAAUCAAAGGCUAUAGGGAAAGGUUAGAGUUUGAGAAACCCUGACAUGUGUGACAUUGUUUCACAAUUUCUAAGUCUCUUUAAAACAAAUUCCAUGGUGCGUGUGUGUGUGUGUGUGUGUGUGUAUGUGUGUGUGUUGAAUUGUUAACAAAUAUAAAGUAGUUUCAUUGUUAUAGAGAGUUGCCUUUAAAUAUCAAGUUUAGAGGAGUACAUAUGGUACCAAUAUGACUCCCAGCAUUAAUGUUUUGUUUAAGGACAAGGUCUCUCAAUAAAAUAUCACUGUGUUUAGUAGUUCAGCUUGCUAGUGCUCUCCUUGGGUUUCAGAACAUGUAUCCAUGCUCAGCUUUUACAUGGAUGUUGACAAUUUGAACCCACGUCCUCUUGCUUUCACAUCUAGUACUCUUACUUAAUAAGCUAGUACCAGAAACACAGAAUAAAUUUUAAUACAAUGAGAAAACCUAUUAUUAGAAGAUAAGGUCUUCAGAGAGAGAGAGAGAGAGAGAGGGAGAGAGAGAGAGAGAGUGCAAUAUGAGUGCUAGCAUAGGUUGGUAAGGUUUGGUAGGGGCUCAUAUUCUAUACUCUACAUCUUUAAGUGGUCUCUGAAGGUGUGGAUGGAGGCUAGAAAUAAAAAGCUUGUGAAUAAGCCUUAUUCUUUCAUCCAUAGCUCAUUGUCAAUGUCCCCAGUAUGAUUUUACUAACAACUUUCAAAUUAUUCUUUUCUCCAUUUAGAGACACACGCAGUAUCUUGGCGACCAUGUGUUAUUUAUUUCAGGAUUCCUAAUAUUGUGCUUGCCAUCUGUUACAUAGUGGUGUCCAAUACGUGUUGUUAUGAGAAAGAAGAAAGGAAAACAUUGCAGAUGAACAUAUGAAUGGACACAGAGACAAGAGAAGGGAUGGAUUAUGGAAAAAACGCAGUUGGAAGAGAUGUGGCAGAGAAAGAAAAUACAGAAGAAAAUAGUGGUUAGUGAAGAAGACAAAGAAAAAGAGAGAAAAGUAGUUAGCAAGAGAGAAAGGGGAAGAAGAGAGAACAAAGAUAAGGAAGCUAAGAAAAGAGAAGAAAAUAAAAGAAGGGAAAAGAAAGAAAAAGAAGGAAUGAUGGAAAGAAAAUGUCUUUUCCACAUACCAAUGAGAAUUUCUAAGUGAACUCUGGCCAUUUUCCUGGUUAGACUGAUACACAAAAUUGGUACGUGCUUGAAACGCUAACAGUGUCUGUAAAUAAUUUACUACAAAUAGCAUCCAUUUUAAUGACAUCAUAAAGAAGCAUAAACAUGCAUACAAAGUAGCCUGCUCAUUGGCAAAGCAAAAUCAAUCCUAUACUGAAAUUGUUAAAUGCAUCUGUAUAUUUGCAAUUAAAUAGCCUUUCUUGACUAUAAAUCAAUGGUGAUCUUAUUUCAAGUGGUCAUAUUGAUGGUACCAGGAAAAGCCAGAGCUCAUACAUGUUACUGUGUAUGAGUUAAUUUUUUUCUUAUUGCCAUUUUUUCCAUAUCGUUUUCUGUGAUGAAUUUGAAGGGAGCUUCCUGUUCGCAGAGUGAGUCACGGGAGUGCAUAAGAGGGGCCUUUCAUCUGGGCAAUGGACAAAAUGUGACCGGCCACAUCCUGCAUCUGCCACUGUGCCUUCUCCACUAUGCUGAGCAGUAACUUCAAGUGUGUGCCCAAAUAAACUCUUCUUUAAGUUGA
Long non-coding RNA from Mus musculus (house mouse), 7085 nucleotides. RefSeq annotates it as predicted gene, 34110. The record is from RefSeq and is a predicted model, not a curated record. Lineage: Eukaryota; Metazoa; Chordata; Mammalia; Rodentia; Muridae. The transcript has 3 exons.